CUACAGGCUUAACACAUGCAAGUCGAGGGGCAGCAUGGUCUUAGCUUGCUAAGGCCGAUGGCGACCGGCGCACGGGUGAGUAACACGUAUCCAACCUGCCGUCUACUCUUGGACAGCCUUCUGAAAGGAAGAUUAAUACAAGAUGGCAUCAUGAGUCCGCAUGUUCACAUGAUUAAAGGUAUUCCGGUAGACGAUGGGGAUGCGUUCCAUUAGAUAGUAGGCGGGGUAACGGCCCACCUAGUCUUCGAUGGAUAGGGGUUCUGAGAGGAAGGUCCCCCACAUUGGAACUGAGACACGGUCCAAACUCCUACGGGAGGCAGCAGUGAGGAAUAUUGGUCAAUGGGCGAGAGCCUGAACCAGCCAAGUAGCGUGAAGGAUGACUGCCCUAUGGGUUGUAAACUUCUUUUAUAAAGGAAUAAAGUCGGGUAUGGAUACCCGUUUGCAUGUACUUUAUGAAUAAGGAUCGGCUAACUCCGUGCCAGCAGCCGCGGUAAUACGGAGGAUCCGAGCGUUAUCCGGAUUUAUUGGGUUUAAAGGGAGCGUAGAUGGAUGUUUAAGUCAGUUGUGAAAGUUUGCGGCUCAACCGUAAAAUUGCAGUUGAUACUGGAUAUCUUGAGUGCAGUUGAGGCAGGCGGAAUUCGUGGUGUAGCGGUGAAAUGCUUAGAUAUCACGAAGAACUCCGAUUGCGAAGGCAGCCUGCUAAGCUGCAACUGACAUUGAGGCUCGAAAGUGUGGGUAUCAAACAGGAUUAGAUACCCUGGUAGUCCACACGGUAAACGAUGAAUACUCGCUGUUUGCGAUAUACUGCAAGCGGCCAAGCGAAAGCGUUAAGUAUUCCACCUGGGGAGUACGCCGGCAACGGUGAAACUCAAAGGAAUUGACGGGGGCCCGCACAAGCGGAGGAACAUGUGGUUUAAUUCGAUGAUACGCGAGGAACCUUACCCGGGCUUAAAUUGCAGAUGAAUUACGGUGAAAGCCGUAAGCCGCAAGGCAUCUGUGAAGGUGCUGCAUGGUUGUCGUCAGCUCGUGCCGUGAGGUGUCGGCUUAAGUGCCAUAACGAGCGCAACCCUUGUUGUCAGUUACUAACAGGUUCCGCUGAGGACUCUGACAAGACUGCCAUCGUAAGAUGUGAGGAAGGUGGGGAUGACGUCAAAUCAGCACGGCCCUUACGUCCGGGGCUACACACGUGUUACAAUGGGGGGUACAGAGGGCCGCUACCACGCGAGUGGAUGCCAAUCCCCAAAACCUCUCUCAGUUCGGACUGGAGUCUGCAACCCGACUCCACGAAGCUGGAUUCGCUAGUAAUCGCGCAUCAGCCACGGCGCGGUGAAUACGUUCCCGGGCCUUGUACACACCGCCCGUCAAGCCAUGGGAGCCGGGGGUACCUGAAGUGCGUAACCGCGAGGAGCGCCCUAGGGUAAAACUGGUGACUGGGGCUAAGUCGUA
This 1446-nucleotide ribosomal RNA is filed under the name uncultured organism. RNAcentral's name for it is "SSU rRNA". It matches the Rfam family "Bacterial small subunit ribosomal RNA". The record is from RNAcentral.